CACCCAUGAUGACUCGCCAUGCUAAUACCGAGGCACCGAGGGAGGGGACCACUGGCCCCGAUCUCGGGUGUCUGUGAGUUCACAUUUACUUCUCAAAGGAAGUUCUGAGGUGU
Thamnophis elegans (Western terrestrial garter snake) is the source of this 113-nucleotide small nucleolar RNA. NCBI's taxonomy places the organism in Eukaryota, Metazoa, Chordata, Lepidosauria, Squamata, Natricidae. The record is from RefSeq and is a predicted model, not a curated record.